Long non-coding RNA from Rhinolophus ferrumequinum (greater horseshoe bat), 506 nucleotides. RefSeq lists it as uncharacterized. The record is from RefSeq and is a predicted model, not a curated record. The transcript is spliced from 4 exons. Lineage: Eukaryota; Metazoa; Chordata; Mammalia; Chiroptera; Rhinolophidae.
CCGGCCGGCGGGAGGAAGACUCCUCGCUCCAACAGGCUUGCGCGGGCCCCCUUCGUCCUGGAAAAGUGGCCCAGGAGACCAAGAGGUGGGGAGCUGGGCUCCCACACACCUCCACUGGUGUUCACUCUGUGCCAGGCUCUGAGGGACACCCUCAAGGAUCUCCGGUCAUCAGAGAAUACACAUAAACGGUGGCAAUUCAGUACACUACCUACAGGAGGAGAGCUAUGAGACGAAGUGGCUGAACAGAGAAAACAAAAUACAGUGACAAACAGGACAAAGUCCCACCUUCAAGGAGUCUGCAAUCCAGGAGGGGAAGGCAGACAAUUAACACACGCAGACAGACAAAUACCAGGAUAUGAGUACUCUGCAUCUCUCCGCCGCCCCUGAAGUGAGACGGGAUCUUGUGACGGAACUUCUGAACUAUGAAAUAACAGGGUGCCAUUUCAAGGCCAAAGCUUUGAAGAUGUUUUCCCUGCCCUUGCUUUUCCCUAUCUGCCCAGGUAAUA